Carassius gibelio (silver crucian carp) is the source of this 2140-nucleotide long non-coding RNA. RefSeq lists it as uncharacterized. The record is from RefSeq and is a predicted model, not a curated record. Lineage: Eukaryota; Metazoa; Chordata; Actinopteri; Cypriniformes; Cyprinidae. The transcript is spliced from 3 exons.
CCACAGCGGAGAACGCGAGCCGGGUCCCGGGCGACGACUUCUCCCCCUCCAGCCUUCGAGAUCUCCAUCCGGAACCGCUUCGCUCCCCUCCGCGAAACAGGACGUGACACUGUGGUCAUCGGAGACUCCACAUCAUCCGACACAUACCCGCGAUCCUGAAGGCCGACGAGAGCCCCAGAGCGGUCGUGCUUCACGCCGGACAACACCACGCUGCGGCAGACGGAGACACUGAAGAGGGACUUCAGCAGCCUGAUCGAGACGGUUCGCAGCACGACGCCCGCGGCAACGAUCGUCGUGUCAGGACCACUGCCUACGUAUCGAUGAGGACACGAAAGGUUCAGUAGACUUUUUGCUUUAAAUGAAUGGUUGUUGUCAUGGUGUAAAGAACAGAAACUGCUAUUUGUUAAUAACUGGAAUCUUUUCUGGGAGGGUCCUAGGCUGUUUCGCGCUGAUGGAUUACUACACCCCAGCAGAAUCGGAGCGGAGCUGCUCUCUGACAACAUCUCCAGGACACUUCGCUCCUUGUGACUAGUCUGACAAGCUGUUCAAGCAGUGCAUGACGCAACUGAUAACCAUAACUGAACUGGCACUGCAAGAGUCUCAUCCAACUCUCACUGACAUUGACAUUGGUUACUGACAUUUGGACAUUCAAGGUUUUGUUUUCUUGAGUUUGUUGUUUGUUUUAAAAUAGCAUGUUUAGCACUUGUUACUACUUGAUCUCACCUGAUCAAUUUUAUUUAAAGCAGCAAUUAACUCUUCCUUUAUCAUCUUAUAAAGAGAUUUGAAAAGCUUUGUUUUUUUGUUUUUUUUACCUCAUUUGGUUCUUACAGUUGAUGAAUGUAAAGAAUAAGCCCCGGCAAUUUUCUGUUGAGUUAGAGAACAAUGAUAUGGCAAUAAACCCACAAUAGACUUAUAGAUUGAACAAAUAUCAAUGAUUACAUGUAAGCCUGUGUUUCAAUAAUGAGGACUAACAUGUACAAAUAUUACUGUUCAUGUACAAAUGUUAUUGCUGACAAUAAUCCAUAAAAUGAACUGUACAAUUACAAUUUGUUAUUUGUUUGUCAAGUCAAGUCACCUUUAUUUAUAUAGCGCUUUAAACAAAAUACAUUGCGUCAAAGCAACUGAAAAACAUUCAUUAGGAAAACAGUGUGUCAAUAAUGCAGAAUGACCGUUAAAGGCAGUUCAUCAUUGAAUUCAGUGAUGUCAUCUCUGUUCAGUUAAACAGUGUCUGUACAUUUAUUUGCAAUCAAGUCAACAAUAUCAUUGUAGAUGAAGUGACCCCAACUAAGCAAGCCAGAGGCGACAGCGGUAAGGAACCGUAACUCCAUCUGUGACAGAAUGGAGAAAAAAACCUUGGGAGAAACCAGGCUCAGUUGGGGGGCCAGUUCUCCUCCGACCAGACGAAACCAGUAGUUCAGUUACAGGCUGCAGCAAAGUCAGAUUGUGCAGAAGAAUCAUCUGUUUCCUGUGGUCUUGUCCUGGUGCUCCUCUGAGACAAGGUCUUUACAGGGGAUCUGUAUCUGGGGCUCUAGUUGUCCUGGUCUCCGCUGUCUUUCAGGGCAGUAGAGGUCCUUUCUAGGUGUUGAUCCACCAUCUGGUCUGGAUACGUACUGGAUCCGGGUGACUGCAGUGACCCUCUGAUCUGGAUACAGACUGGAUCUGGUGGCUACGGUGACCUCGGAAUAAGAGAGAAACAGACAAAUAUUAGCGUAGAUGCCAUUCUUCUAAUGAUGUAGCAAGUACAUAGGGUGUUAUGGAAAGUGUUCCCGGUUCAGGUUUACCUAAGGCCUGGUUCACACGGGACGAUUUUAAAAUUGUCGGGCGAUUUUCCAAACCUGAGAGACCCCAUACACGGCGAUAAAAAAUCACGGGUCUAACAGUUUUGGUCGUUGAGUGUGUGGUGUGCAGCCACACGGCAAAAUCAACACAUCACACACGAACCGAUUUGACUCCCGAGCAUUCCCAGGUCAGACGGGAAAUCUCGCAAAAUCCCUCGAGAUCAAACGUGAAUUCAGAGUAAACAAUCAUUGCGGAAGAAGAGGACGCAGUGGCCAUAGUUUGUGCUUUGUUUUUAACGAAAAAAAAAAACAUAAGAAAAACAAGAAAAGGUGAUGGUCAAAGAGGUGGAGACAACGCGAGC